GGACUACCCGGGUUUCUAAUCCUGUUUGCUCCCCACGCUUUCGCGUCUCAGCGUCAGUCACUGUCCAGAAGGCCGCCUUCGCCACCGGUGUUCCUCUCGAUAUCUACGAAUUUCACCUCUACACCGAGAAUUCCGCCUUCCUCUCCAGGACUCAAGCCUCGCAGUUUCGAAUGCACUUCCCAGGUUGAGCCCGGGGCUUUCACAUCCGACUUACAAGGCAGCCUACACGCGCUUUACGCCCAGUAAUUCCGAACAACGUUUGCACCCUCUGUCUUACCGCGGCUGCUGGCAC
This 292-nucleotide ribosomal RNA is filed under the name uncultured bacterium. RNAcentral's name for it is "partial 16S ribosomal RNA". The record is from RNAcentral.